RNAcentral lists this ribosomal RNA (124 nucleotides) under Vibrio sp. JCM 18905. The record is from RNAcentral. Lineage: Bacteria; Pseudomonadati; Pseudomonadota; Gammaproteobacteria; Vibrionales; Vibrionaceae.
UGCUUGGCGACCAUAGCGUUUUGGACCCACCUGACUUCCAUGCCGAACUCAGAAGUGAAACGAAAUAGCGCCGAUGGUAGUGUGGGGGGGCUUCCCCAUGUGAGAGUAGGACAUCGCCAGGCUU